RNAcentral lists this ribosomal RNA (482 nucleotides) under uncultured bacterium. Its description in RNAcentral is "partial 16S ribosomal RNA". It matches the Rfam family "Bacterial small subunit ribosomal RNA", at positions 28 to 507 of the family's 1533-position model. The record is from RNAcentral.
GACGAACGCUGGCGGCGUGCCUAACACAUGCAAGUCGAACGGAACUGUUUUGAAAGAUUUCUUCGGAAUGAAUUUGAUUUAGUUUAGUGGCGGACGGGUGAGUAACGCGUGAGUAACCUGCCUUCAAGAGGGGAAUAACAUUCUGAAAAGAAUGCUAAUACCGCAUGACAUAUCGGAACCACAUGGUUUUGAUAUCAAAGAUUUUAUCGCUUGAAGAUGGACUCGCGUCCGAUUAGUUAGUUGGUGAGGUAACGGCUCACCAAGACCGCGAUCGGUAGCCGGACUGAGAGGUUGAACGGCCACAUUGGGACUGAGACACGGCCCAGACUCCUACGGGAGGCAGCAGUGGGGGAUAUUGCGCAAUGGGGGCAACCCUGACGCAGCAACGCCGCGUGAAGGAUGAAGGUUUUCGGAUUGUAAACUUCUUUUAUUAAGGACGAAAAAUGACGGUACUUAAUGAAAAAGCUCCGGCUAACUACGUG